AAUCAACGCUGGCGGCGUGCCUCAGACAUGCAAGUCGAACGCGAAAGUCCCCUUCGGGGGACAAGUAGAGUGGCGCACGGGUGAGUAACACGUAGGUAAUCUACCUUCGGAUGGGGAAUAACAAUCGGAAACGGUUGCUAAUACCGCAUAAUGCAGCGGCACCUAAUGGUGACAGUUGUUAAAGCGGGGGAUCGAAAGACCUCGCGUCUGAAGAGGAGCCUGCGGCGGAUUAGCAGUUGGUAAGGUAAUGGCUUACCAAGGCGACGAUCCGUAACCGGCCUGAGAGGGCGGUCGGUCACACUGACACUGACAUACGGGUCAGACUCCUACGGGAGGCAGCAGUCGGGAA
RNAcentral lists this ribosomal RNA (349 nucleotides) under uncultured bacterium. RNAcentral describes it as "bacterial SSU rRNA". It matches the Rfam family "Bacterial small subunit ribosomal RNA", at positions 32 to 361 of the family's 1533-position model. The record is from RNAcentral.